GGCAGCAUGGCAUAAUGGUUUGAGCACUAGAUUAUGACUCUGGAGACCAGGGUUCAUUUCCCUGCCUGGUCA
This is a non-coding RNA of Phrynosoma platyrhinos (Desert horned lizard), 72 nucleotides long. Lineage: Eukaryota; Metazoa; Chordata; Lepidosauria; Squamata; Phrynosomatidae. The record is from the annotation of a GenBank genome assembly.